ACUCAAAGGAAUUGACGGGGACUUGCACAAGCAGUGGAUUAUGUGGUUCAAUUCGAUGGCAAACGAAGAACCUUACCAAGGUUAGAAAUCCAAACGAAGACAUUGGGAAACCAUUGUCGUCUCACAAGGACGGUUGGACAGGUGAUGCAUGGCCGUCGUCAGUUCGUGGUUUGAAUUGUUCCCUUAAGUGGGGUAACGAACGCAACCCUCGUCGCGUGUUAUAAGUGUCACGCGAGACUACCCACGACAGAGAUCGGAAAUUUUUCCUGUUUCUGUCGUGGGGGGAAGGCGAGGAUGACGCCAGGUCAGCAUGUCCCUUUGAUAUCUUGGGCUACACACAUAAUACAAUCGCCAUUACAACGCGACGCAAUACCGCAAGGUGGAGCUAAUCGUAAGAAAAGUGGCGCCAGUUCGGAUUGAGGUCUGCAACUCGACCUCAUGAAGCCGGAAUUGCUAGUAAUCGCGGGUCAGCUAUACCGCGGUGAAUACGUUCUCAAGUCUUGUACACACCGCCCGU
This 517-nucleotide ribosomal RNA is filed under the name uncultured bacterium. RNAcentral describes it as "partial 16S ribosomal RNA". It matches the Rfam family "Bacterial small subunit ribosomal RNA", at positions 899 to 1397 of the family's 1533-position model. The record is from RNAcentral.